AAAGCAGGCCAGGCAGUCGCGGCUUCGACGUUUCGUGCGUCGAGGGCGAGGAAAGUCCGGACUCCACAGGGCAGGGUGAUGGCUAACGGCCAUCCGUGGCAACACGCGGAACAGGGCAACAGAAAGCAAACCGCCGAUGGCUCCUGGCGCAAGUCGGGAGAUCAGGUAAGGGUGAAACGGUGCGGUAAGAGCGCACCGCGGCCAUCGUGAGACUGGCCGGCACGGUAACCUCCACCCGGAGCAAUUCCAAAUAGGCAGGCGCGCAUCUUCGAGAUGCAGGACGGUGCCCCCGUUCGUCUGCGGGUAGGAAGCUUGAGCGCGUCAGCAAUGGCGCGUCUAGAGGAAUGACUGCCACGCGCGAUCGCUUUCGGGCGUAUUGCGUGCACAGAAUCCGGCUUAUCGGCCCGCUUUGUCG
This 415-nucleotide RNase P RNA is filed under the name Caballeronia sp. LP006. RNAcentral's name for it is "RNase P RNA component class A". It matches the Rfam family "Bacterial RNase P class A". Rfam says of the family: Ribonuclease P (RNase P) is a ubiquitous endoribonuclease, found in archaea, bacteria and eukarya as well as chloroplasts and mitochondria. Its best characterised activity is the generation of mature 5'-ends of tRNAs by cleaving the 5'-leader elements of precursor-tRNAs. Cellular RNase Ps are ribonucleoproteins. The record is from RNAcentral. Lineage: Bacteria; Pseudomonadati; Pseudomonadota; Betaproteobacteria; Burkholderiales; Burkholderiaceae.